Molecule: ribosomal RNA, 406 nt
Filed under: uncultured bacterium
Lineage: Bacteria
Description: partial 16S ribosomal RNA
Rfam family: Bacterial small subunit ribosomal RNA
Source: RNAcentral
AUUGAACGCUGGCGGCAGGCCUAACACAUGCAAGUCGAGCGAGCGGCGGACGGGUGAGUAAUGUCUGGGAAACUGCCUGAUGGAGGGGGAUAACUACUGGAAACGGUAGCUAAUACCGCAUACCAUCAGAUGUGCCCAGAUGGGAGUAUCUAGUAGGGGUGGUAACGGCACACCUAGGCGACGAUCCCUAGCUGGUCUGAGAGGAUGACCAGUCCCACUGGAACUGAGACACGGUCCAGCGUCCGACGGGAGGCAGCAGUGGGGAAUAUUGCACAAGGGGCGCAAGCGUGAUGCAGACAUGCCGCGUGUGUGAAGAAGGCCUUCGGGUUGUAAAGCCCGUUCAGCGGGGAGGCGUUACCCGCAGAAGAAGCACCGGCUAACUCCGUGCCAGCAGCCGCGGUAAUUC